RNAcentral lists this ribosomal RNA (460 nucleotides) under uncultured bacterium. Its description in RNAcentral is "partial 16S ribosomal RNA". It matches the Rfam family "Bacterial small subunit ribosomal RNA", at positions 338 to 795 of the family's 1533-position model. The record is from RNAcentral.
CCUACGGGAGGCAGCAGUGAGGAAUAUUGGUCAAUGGACGCAAGUCUGAACCAGCCAUGCCGCGUGCAGGAUGACGGCCCUAUGAGUUGUAAACUGCUUUUGUACGAGGGUAAACACCGAUACGUGUAUCGGGAUGAAAGUAUCGUACGAAUAAGGAUCGGCUAACUCCGUGACAGCAGCCGCGGUAAUACGGAGGAUCCGAGCGUUAUCCGGAUUGAUUGGGUUUAAAGGGUGCGUAGGCGGUGUGAUAAGUUAGAGGUGAAAUGUCGGGGCUCAACCCCGGAACUGCCUCUAAUACUGUUGGACUAGAGAGUAGUUGCGGUAGGCGGAAUGUAUGGUGUAGCGGUGGAAUGCUUAGAGAUCAUACAGAACACCGAUUGCGAAGGCAGCUUACCAAACUAUAUCUGACGUUGAGGCACGAAAGCGUGGGUAGCAAACAGGAUUAGAUACCCCAGUAGUC